CCUACGGGAGGCAGCAGUGAGGAAUAUUGGUCAAUGGACGGAAGUCUGAACCAGCCAUGCCGCGUGCAGGAAGACGGCUCUAUGAGUUGUAAACUGCUUUUGUACAAAGGUAAACCUGAAUACGUGUAUUCAGCUGAAAGUACUGUACGAAUAAGGAUCGGCUAACUCCGUGCCAGCAGCCGCGGUAAUACGGAGGAUCCAAGCGUUAUCCGGAUUUAUUGGGUUUAAAGGGUGCGUAGGCGGAUUGAUAAGUUAGAGGUGAAAUGUCCGAGCUUAACUCGGGAACUGCCUCUACUACUGUUGAUCUAGAGAGUAGAUGCGGUAGGCGGAAUGUAUGGUGUAGCGGUGAAAUGCUUAGAGAUCAUACAGAACACCGAUUGCGAAGGCAGCUUACCAAUCUAUAUCUGACGUUGAGGCACGAAAGCGUGGGGAGUAAACAGGAUUAAAUACCCUAGUAGUC
This 460-nucleotide ribosomal RNA is filed under the name uncultured bacterium. Its description in RNAcentral is "partial 16S ribosomal RNA". It matches the Rfam family "Bacterial small subunit ribosomal RNA", at positions 338 to 795 of the family's 1533-position model. The record is from RNAcentral.